GACUAUAUAAACUGAUUGCACGAGUUCCAGCAGUGGCUGCUUAUCUCUAUCAAAGGUGAGAGUAUGUACGAGCAUUGAUAUGUUGCCCAAACUGCAUGGAUUCAGAAUGGAACUAUACAAGAGAACAUCCUAUUUAGCAUGCCAAUGAAUUCAAGCAAAUACAAGGAAGUUCUUCGAGUUUGUUGUCUGGAGAAAGACAUGGAGAUGAUGGAGUUUGGAGACCAAACUAAGAUUAGAGAGAGAGAGAGAGAGAGGGAUUAAUCUGAGUGGUGGCCAGAAGCAGAGAAUUCAACUCACCAGGGCUGUUUAUAAGGACUCUGAUGUUUAUCUACUUGAUGAUGUCUUCAGUGUUGUUGAUGCUCAUACUAGUUGUGAGAUCUUCAAGGAAUGCGUCAGAGGAGCUGUCAAAGAUAAAACUGUCGUGCUUGUUACUCACCAAAUUGACUUCUUGCACAAUAUCAAUUGCAUCUACGGUUAAUUCAAGUUUACGGAUGGAUUUCACAACAAUGGAUCCAACGAAUGGCAAGGAUUCCGGUUAGAAUUAAUUGGGAGCUUUGUCCUCUGCAUCGCCGCUUUGCUCAUUGUCAUGCUUCCUGCGAAUAUUAUCCAACCAGGUACCUCUUGAAAAGCUAUCCCAUUUUUCUGCUUUCUUUAGUUUGAUAACAUAUCACACUAGUAUAGUGUAGAUGAUAAUUAACGUACAGGUUUUGGAGUUAAAAUUAGCUGUAGGCUUAGAAAUAACCAUUCAAGGACUCAUAGGUGUUUGGCUGAUAUCUGAAUAUGCUCAACUAUAACACAAAGGCUGUUUGUGGUUGGCAUGUGGUAUGUGGGAACUCACAUGUGUUUCUUGUGAUGCAUAAUAUGUAGGCCUAUCUCUGUCCUACAGCCUCAGUUUGAAUACCGAGUUUCAAAUGUCUUCAGUUGUGUCCAUAAUUAAAGGUGAGACCCUAUGUAUAAUAGCUAAGAUGCACAAAAAAAAUCAAAGUUUUGUUAGAUAGUCAUGACAUGGUCAUUUAGUUUGAACCUUGUGGACUCUUGGGCUGGAGAUAAAGUGAAAGCAUGGCAUACUAUUGGACUUUCAGAUCAUUUGCAUCAUUCUCAUGAUAUGUUUAGGGUUUAGAUUUGAGAGUAUUUUUAAAAUGUUUUGAGAUUAAAAAUAUCUGUA
Long non-coding RNA from Dioscorea cayenensis subsp. rotundata (Guinea yam), 1165 nucleotides. RefSeq lists it as uncharacterized. NCBI's taxonomy places the organism in Eukaryota, Viridiplantae, Streptophyta, Magnoliopsida, Dioscoreales, Dioscoreaceae. The record is from RefSeq and is a predicted model, not a curated record. The transcript is spliced from 4 exons.